This 80-nucleotide transfer RNA is filed under the name Chloroflexi bacterium 54-19. RNAcentral's name for it is "tRNA-Pro". It matches the Rfam family "tRNA". Rfam says of the family: Transfer RNA (tRNA) molecules are approximately 80 nucleotides in length. Their secondary structure includes four short double-helical elements and three loops (D, anti-codon, and T loops). The record is from RNAcentral. RNAcentral also lists the same sequence under 1 other name. Lineage: Bacteria; Bacillati; Chloroflexota; Chloroflexia; Candidatus Chloroheliales.
GGGCCUGUAGUUCAAAGGAAAGAAUCCUCCGUGCCGGAAACGGACGGAGGGGGUUGUGGGUUCAAGUCCCGCCAGGUCCA